GGACUCAAAUCAGAAUCCUAGUAACCAUAAUAGUCAAAUACUGGACUCGAACGGGAACUCAUAGUAACCUUAAUAAUCAAAUGUCGGACUCAAAUCGAAACUCAUAGUAACAAUAAUAAUCAAAUGUCAGACUCGAAUCAGAACUCAUAGUAACUAUAAUAGUCAAAUGUCAGACUCGAACCAAAACUCAUAGUAACCAUAAUAAUCAGAUACCUGACUUGAAUCGGAACUCAUAGUAACCAUAAUAAUCAGAUGCCGGACUCGAACCAAAACUCAUAGUAACCAUAAUAAUCAAAUGCUGGACUCGAAUCAAAACACAUAGUAACCAUAAUAAUCAGAUGCCAAACUCGAACCAGAACUCAUAGUAACCAUAAUAAUCAGAUGCCGGACUCGAACCGGAACUCAUAGUAACCAUAAUAGUCAAAUGCCGGACUCAAAUCGAAACUCAUAGUAACCAAAAUAGUCAAAUGCCAG
This 474-nucleotide long non-coding RNA is filed under the name Capsicum annuum. Its description in RNAcentral is "long non-coding RNA (CANN_LNC001233)". The record is from RNAcentral. Lineage: Eukaryota; Viridiplantae; Streptophyta; Magnoliopsida; Solanales; Solanaceae.